AUGGAAAGGAAGAAAGUAGAAGAGGAGCAAACAUGGAGCAGAGAAACAAUCCCAAAAGUAAUGAAGAUAGUGAGCACAACAAUUUCUCAAAAAGACGUUAUUUCUCUUCUACUUGUCAGUCCUUGGCUUCACCACUCUCUCAUCUCUUACCCAUCUCUCUGGCUGGCUCUUGAUUUUCGUGAGAUGAAUAAGGCUGGAGAUAGAUUAAUAUCCGCUCUUUCACUGCCAAGAUACCGGCAUGUGAAGCAGAUUAAUCUUGAAUUUGCACAAGAUAUUGAAGACAGACAUCUUCAAGUAAUUCAAAGCAAGGCUAGCAGUUCUCUUCAAAACCUGGAGUCCUUAAACCUUAAUGGUUGCCAGAAGAUCUCUGACAAAGGAAUAGAAGCUAUAACCAGUGCUUGUCCAAAUUUGAAGGUCUUUUCUAUUUAUUGGAAUGUAAGGGUAACAGAUGUUGGUAUAAAGCAGUUGGUGGAGAAUUGCAAACAUAUAGUUGACUUGAACUUGAGUGGCUGUAAGAACAUAUCAGACAAAAGUUUGCAAUUAGUUGCUGAUCUAUAUCAAGACAUAGAGUUAUUGGACCUGACUAGGUGCAUCAAGCUCACAGACGAUGGCUUGCAACAGAUAUUGUCCAAGUGCUCCUCUCUCAAGAGUUUAAAUCUCUACGCCCUGUCCACUUUCACUGACAAAGCUUACAGGAAUAUAUCAAAUCUGGCCCAUCUAAGAAUUUUAGAUUUAUGUGGAGCCCAGAAUCUAUCUGAUGAAGGACUUUCAUGUAUAGCUAAAUGCAAGAAUCUCACCUCACUCAAUUUGACAUGGUGCGUUCGAGUUACUAAUGCGGGGGUUAUAGCUAUUGCUGAAGGUUGCACCUAUCUUGAGUUUCUUAGAAUGAUGCAGCUUGUUUGGAAUAGUUGGUGUGACUGACAAAUGCCUGGAAGCCCUUUCAAGGUCCUGCUCAAACACAAUCACAACCCUCGAUGUUAAUGGAUGCAUUGGCAUAAAGCUUUUAGAUCAUAACUGGAAAACCUUAGUAACUUCCUUGGCCCAAAAGGGGAAAACAGAAGGUACUACAGUAUUUUGAUCACAAAGGGUCGAUAGUAAGAAUGCUGGUUGUUAUUUACUUGAAAUGGCCAAAUUAUGUAUUUGUGCCACCUGCAACAAAUAAAAUAAGGACCAAAACCUCGCUAGGAAAAUUUCUUCUAAAUAUCAUCAUGUGGUAAUAUUCUUUCCUAUUGUAUGAUAUAUUAUUUAUCUAUCAACUUAAUUACUUCUAUACUAUUUAAUGAUAUGAUGUAGACUAUGAAUUACUACCAUUUUAUGGUUAUUUAUGCUAUAACUUAAUUUUGAUACAAGUAUACUGUAACUGCCAAUCAUCUAUGCAUUCAAGAUGGUUUUCUAUGUAUUAGCACUAUGGAUUGUUGUCACUUCAGUUGCUAGUGCUACUACAUGACUGUUGGAAUUUGGAAAACAUGACGAGCAAAAGUUGUAUUUAUGUGAAUGCACUUGCAUGCGCGUGAGAACAUGCUCAAAGUUCCAUUUCAGACUAAGCUUAGUUCUUUUUCUCUCUAUAUUUUCUGAGAUUGUUAAGUCUUUCGGAAUUUUUUUAUCCCCCCUGUAUUUUCUACCGGUUAGUUAAUG
Ricinus communis (castor bean) is the source of this 1635-nucleotide RNA transcript. It is a transcript of the gene named F-box protein At3g58530, with no coding region annotated. NCBI's taxonomy places the organism in Eukaryota, Viridiplantae, Streptophyta, Magnoliopsida, Malpighiales, Euphorbiaceae. The record is from RefSeq and is a predicted model, not a curated record. The transcript is spliced from 12 exons.